This 657-nucleotide ribosomal RNA is filed under the name uncultured fungus. RNAcentral's name for it is "eukaryotic LSU rRNA". It matches the Rfam family "Eukaryotic large subunit ribosomal RNA", at positions 24 to 664 of the family's 3401-position model. The record is from RNAcentral. Lineage: Eukaryota; Fungi.
CCCGCUGAACUUAAGCAUAUCAAUAAGCGGAGGAAAAGAAACUAACAAGGAUUCCCCUAGUAACUGCGAGUGAAGCGGGAAAAGCUCAAAUUUAAAAUCUGGCAGUCCUCUGGCUGUCCGAGUUGUAAUCUGGAGAAGCGUUUUCCGCGUCGGACCGUGUACAAGUCUCCUGGAAUGGAGCAUCACAGAGGGUGAGAAUCCCGUCUUUGACAUGGACUGCCUGUGCGAUAUGGUGCGCUCUCGAAGAGUCGAGUUGUUUGGGAAUGCAGCUCAAAAUGGGUGGUAAAUGCCAUCUAAAGCUAAAUAUUGGCGAGAGACCGAUAGCGAACAAGUACCGUGAGGGAAAGAUGAAAAGAACUUUGGAAAGAGAGUUAAACAGUACGUGAAAUUGCUGAAAGGGAAACGCUUGAAGUCAGUCGCGUCGGCUGGAAAUCAACCUUGCUUCUGCUUGGUGUACUUUCUGGUUGACGGGUCAGCAUCAAUUUUGACCAUUGGAUAAAGUCAUUGGGAAUGUGGCAUCUCAGGAUGUGUUAUAGCCCGUUGUCGCAUACUGUGGUUGGGAUUGAGGAACUCAGCACGCCGCAAGGCCGGGUUUCGACCACGUUCGUGCUUAGGAUGCUGGCAUAAUGGCUUUAAUCGACCCGUCUUGAAACACGG